This 63-nucleotide transfer RNA is filed under the name Rivellia syngenesiae. RNAcentral describes it as "tRNA-Arg". The record is from RNAcentral. Lineage: Eukaryota; Metazoa; Arthropoda; Insecta; Diptera; Platystomatidae.
GAAUAUGAAGCGAUAUAUUGCAAUUAGUUUCGACCUAACUCUAGGUUAUUUAACCCUUAUUCU